Molecule: long non-coding RNA, 379 nt
Organism: Chinchilla lanigera (long-tailed chinchilla)
Lineage: Eukaryota; Metazoa; Chordata; Mammalia; Rodentia; Chinchillidae
Exons: 3
Source: RefSeq, a predicted model, not a curated record
CAUCCGUCAGUGCUGUCCAGAGGGGAGUCUCGCUGCGGCCUCCUGAGAGCUGGCGUCCACCCGAUCCUCAGUGCCGGCGAUCACGUAGCUACAAACCUCCUCUCUCACAAGCCGGCCUGGUGUUUUCUUUGGCUUCUGAACAACCUACACGACUGCCUGGCUCAAGACAAGGUAUGGACAAGACACCACGGUGUGGGCCGGCGGCAGGUGCGGGGACAGGAAGGACUGAAGCUCUCAAUCCAGGAAAACACCCAUGGCUUUACAUUCAUGACAAGUAGCUUUAGUGCUGCACGACGGGUCCCUGUCCCAGUAAACACACGACGUACGCGGGCAAGCGAUUCACAAGCCGCGGAACAAUGCUCCACGUCACGGCACGUUA